CUCGGGGCACAGCUCAACUGGUGGAUCAAUCAACAUUGUCUUGCUUCCAGCGACAGGGUGGAGAGUUCGAUUCCUGGUGGGAACCUGCGGCCAAAAAUUUGGUAUGGAGCAAUCACUGUGGAGGACGGUCUCUUGUGCGCAGAAGUGUACAGGCAAUGAGGGGAACCUGUGAUCCAGUUGAGGCAUAAUCCGCGAUUUACCCCCUCCAAGGUUCUAGGGGCAAGGG
This 226-nucleotide long non-coding RNA is filed under the name Olea europaea subsp. europaea. Lineage: Eukaryota; Viridiplantae; Streptophyta; Magnoliopsida; Lamiales; Oleaceae. The record is from RNAcentral.